This 404-nucleotide ribosomal RNA is filed under the name uncultured Iamia sp. RNAcentral describes it as "bacterial SSU rRNA". It matches the Rfam family "Bacterial small subunit ribosomal RNA", at positions 355 to 774 of the family's 1533-position model. Lineage: Bacteria; Bacillati; Actinomycetota; Acidimicrobiia; Acidimicrobiales; Iamiaceae. The record is from RNAcentral.
UGGGGAAUCUUGCGCAAUGGGCGAAAGCCUGACGCAGCAACGCCGCGUGCGGGAUGACGGCCCUCGGGUUGUAAACCGCUUUCAGUGGGGACGAACCAAGACGGUACCCACAGAAGAAGGUCCGGCCAACUACGUGCCAGCAGCCGCGGUAACACGUAGGGACCAAGCGUUGUCCGGAUUCAUUGGGCGUAAAGAGCUCGUAGGCGGUUCGAUAAGUCGGGUGUGAAACCUCCAGGCUCAACCUGGAGACGCCACCCGAUACUGUCGUGACUAGAGUCCAGUAGGGGAGCGUGGAAUUCCUGGUGUAGCGGUGAAAUGCGCAGAUAUCAGGAGGAACACCAGCGGCGAAGGCGGCGCUCUGGGCUGGAACUGACGCUGAGGAGCGAAAGCGUGGGGAGCGAACA